This 489-nucleotide ribosomal RNA is filed under the name uncultured bacterium. Its description in RNAcentral is "partial 16S ribosomal RNA". It matches the Rfam family "Bacterial small subunit ribosomal RNA", at positions 28 to 507 of the family's 1533-position model. The record is from RNAcentral.
GGCGAACGCUGGCGGCGUGCUUAACACAUGCAAGUCGAACGGUGAAGGGACCAGCUUGCUGGUUCUGGAUGAGUGGCGAACGGGUGAGUAACACGUGAGUAACCUGCCCCCUUCUUCUGGAUAACCGCAUGAAAGUGUGGCUAAUACGGGAUAUUCUGGGUCUGUCGCAUGGCGGGCCCGGGAAAGAUAUUGCUUCGGUGGGGGAUGGGCUCGCGGCCUAUCAGCUUGUUGGUGGGGUGAUGGCCUACCAAGGCGGUGACGGGUAGCCGGCCUGAGAGGGGGGACGGGUACACGGGGACUGAGACACGGCCCAGACUCCUACGGGAGGCAGCAGUGGGGAAUAUUGCACAAUGGGCGCAAGCCUGAUGCAGCGACGCCGCGUGAGGGAUGGAGGCCUUCGGGUUGUAAACCUCUUUCGCCAGUGAAGCAGGCCUGCUCCUUGUGGGUGGGUUGACGGUAGCUGGAUAAGAAGCGCCGGCUAACUACGUG